This 2902-nucleotide ribosomal RNA is filed under the name human gut metagenome. Its description in RNAcentral is "bacterial LSU rRNA". It matches the Rfam family "Bacterial large subunit ribosomal RNA". The record is from RNAcentral.
UUAAGCGACUAAGCGUACACGGUGGAUGCCCUGGCAGUCAGAGGCGAUGAAGGACGUGCUAAUCUGCGAUAAGCGUCGGUGAGGUGAUAUGAACCGUUAUAACCGGCGAUUUCCGAAUGGGGAAACCCAGUGUGUUUCGACACACUAUCAUUAACUGAAUCCAUAGGUUAAUGAGGCGAACCGGGGGAACUGAAACAUCUAAGUACCCCGAGGAAAAGAAAUCAACCGAGAUUCCCCCAGUAGCGGCGAGCGAACGGGGAGGAGCCCAGAGCCUGAAUCAGUGUGUGUGUUAGUGGAAGCGUCUGGAAAGGCGCGCGAUACAGGGUGACAGCCCCGUACACAAAAAUGCACAUAUUGUGAGCUCGAUGAGUAGGGCGGGACACGUGGUAUCCUGUCUGAAUAUGGGGGGACCAUCCUCCAAGGCUAAAUACUCCUGACUGACCGAUAGUGAACCAGUACCGUGAGGGAAAGGCGAAAAGAACCCCGGCGAGGGGAGUGAAAAAGAACCUGAAACCGUGUACGUACAAGCAGUGGGAGCCUCUUAAUGGGGUGACUGCGUACCUUUUGUAUAAUGGGUCAGCGACUUAUAUUCUGUAGCAAGGUUAACCGAAUAGGGGAGCCGAAGGGAAACCGAGUCUUAACUGGGCGUUAAGUUGCAGGGUAUAGACCCGAAACCCGGUGAUCUAGCCAUGGGCAGGUUGAAGGUUGGGUAACACUAACUGGAGGACCGAACCGACUAAUGUUGAAAAAUUAGCGGAUGACUUGUGGCUGGGGGUGAAAGGCCAAUCAAACCGGGAGAUAGCUGGUUCUCCCCGAAAGCUAUUUAGGUAGCGCCUCGUGAAUUCAUCUCCGGGGGUAGAGCACUGUUUCGGCAAGGGGGUCAUCCCGACUUACCAACCCGAUGCAAACUGCGAAUACCGGAGAAUGUUAUCACGGGAGACACACGGCGGGUGCUAACGUCCGUCGUGAAGAGGGAAACAACCCAGACCGCCAGCUAAGGUCCCAAAGUCAUGGUUAAGUGGGAAACGAUGUGGGAAGGCCCAGACAGCCAGGAUGUUGGCUUAGAAGCAGCCAUCAUUUAAAGAAAGCGUAAUAGCUCACUGGUCGAGUCGGCCUGCGCGGAAGAUGUAACGGGGCUAAACCAUGCACCGAAGCUGCGGCAGCGACACUAUGUGUUGUUGGGUAGGGGAGCGUUCUGUAAGCCUGUGAAGGUGUACUGUGAGGUAUGCUGGAGGUAUCAGAAGUGCGAAUGCUGACAUAAGUAACGAUAAAGCGGGUGAAAAGCCCGCUCGCCGGAAGACCAAGGGUUCCUGUCCAACGUUAAUCGGGGCAGGGUGAGUCGACCCCUAAGGCGAGGCCGAAAGGCGUAGUCGAUGGGAAACAGGUUAAUAUUCCUGUACUUGGUGUUACUGCGAAGGGGGGACGGAGAAGGCUAUGUUGGCCGGGCGACGGUUGUCCCGGUUUAAGCGUGUAGGCUGGUUUUCCAGGCAAAUCCGGAAAAUCAAGGCUGAGGCGUGAUGACGAGGCACUACGGUGCUGAAGCAACAAAUGCCCUGCUUCCAGGAAAAGCCUCUAAGCAUCAGGUAACAUCAAAUCGUACCCCAAACCGACACAGGUGGUCAGGUAGAGAAUACCAAGGCGCUUGAGAGAACUCGGGUGAAGGAACUAGGCAAAAUGGUGCCGUAACUUCGGGAGAAGGCACGCUGAUAUGUAGGUGAAGCGACUUGCUCGUGGAGCUGAAAUCAGUCGAAGAUACCAGCUGGCUGCAACUGUUUAUUAAAAACACAGCACUGUGCAAACACGAAAGUGGACGUAUACGGUGUGACGCCUGCCCGGUGCCGGAAGGUUAAUUGAUGGGGUUAGCGGUAACGCGAAGCUCUUGAUCGAAGCCCCGGUAAACGGCGGCCGUAACUAUAACGGUCCUAAGGUAGCGAAAUUCCUUGUCGGGUAAGUUCCGACCUGCACGAAUGGCGUAAUGAUGGCCAGGCUGUCUCCACCCGAGACUCAGUGAAAUUGAACUCGCUGUGAAGAUGCAGUGUACCCGCGGCAAGACGGAAAGACCCCGUGAACCUUUACUAUAGCUUGACACUGAACAUUGAGCCUUGAUGUGUAGGAUAGGUGGGAGGCUUUGAAGUGUGGACGCCAGUCUGCAUGGAGCCGACCUUGAAAUACCACCCUUUAAUGUUUGAUGUUCUAACGUUGGCCCCUGACCGGGGUUGCGGACAGUGUCUGGUGGGUAGUUUGACUGGGGCGGUCUCCUCCUAAAGAGUAACGGAGGAGCACGAAGGUUGGCUAAUCCUGGUCGGACAUCAGGAGGUUAGUGCAAUGGCAUAAGCCAGCUUGACUGCGAGCGUGACGGCGCGAGCAGGUGCGAAAGCAGGUCAUAGUGAUCCGGUGGUUCUGAAUGGAAGGGCCAUCGCUCAACGGAUAAAAGGUACUCCGGGGAUAACAGGCUGAUACCGCCCAAGAGUUCAUAUCGACGGCGGUGUUUGGCACCUCGAUGUCGGCUCAUCACAUCCUGGGGCUGAAGUAGGUCCCAAGGGUAUGGCUGUUCGCCAUUUAAAGUGGUACGCGAGCUGGGUUUAGAACGUCGUGAGACAGUUCGGUCCCUAUCUGCCGUGGGCGCUGGAGAACUGAGGGGGGCUGCUCCUAGUACGAGAGGACCGGAGUGGACGCAUCACUGGUGUUCGGGUUGUCAUGCCAAUGGCACUGCCCGGUAGCUAAAUGCGGAAGAGAUAAGUGCUGAAAGCAUCUAAGCACGAAACUUGCCCCGAGAUGAGUUCUCCCUGACUCCUUGAGAGUCCUGAAGGAACGUUGAAGACGACGACGUUGAUAGGCCGGGUGUGUAAGCGCAGCGAUGCGUUGAGCUAACCGGUACUAAUGAACCGUGAGGCUUAACCUU